This 2139-nucleotide long non-coding RNA is filed under the name Arabidopsis thaliana (thale cress). Its description in RNAcentral is "long non-coding RNA (ATHA_LNC000012)". The record is from RNAcentral. Lineage: Eukaryota; Viridiplantae; Streptophyta; Magnoliopsida; Brassicales; Brassicaceae.
CCUAAGGCUCCAUCAACGUCCUUAUGCUUACCCUAUUGGUUUGUGACGUUUACCAGUGGAUUAUGCAAUCACAAUUAUCAGAUUGCUCCAUCUUUUUGGUAAUAGAUUCCUGGGAGAGAAAUCUCGUCACGUAACUAAAAUCAAAAUCGAGACAAAUACACAAAAGAAAAAAAAACAAAGAAUAAGGAAUCCAAGGAAAUGAGGAGGACGAAGAUGAGAUGAGAUGAGAAGAGAGAAUGCGCGCGGAUAUGUAUAUAUACAAGAGAAAUUGGAAGCCCUAGAAGAGACACACACCGCCUUUGGGAAUUAAUUAUACGCCUUAAUGGCCCAAUAGAUUUGCUCUUCAUGGCCCAAACUAUUUGCUCUGCAAGCCCAUUAAAGGUAACUAAAUUAUUUUUAAAAGGUAAAAUAAUUAAAUAUUUAAUUUUGCAACUUGUGACAUAAAGAGUCAGCAGUUUUUCAUCAGUCAUGUAAUUUUCAUAUUUUGGCCAGAAGGGAUACAUAUAUUUUCAGAUCAUCUCAAUUUGUGUAAAUAAGAAUUUUUUUAUUCCGGAUACAACCAACAGAGAUGAAGUUCUAAGCUACGUUUGAAUUAUUUGGUUUUAACGUUAUAGAUAGAGAGCAUGCUACUACUUUGGCGUUUUUUUUUAAUCUAGCAAAAUGUGCAUGAGUUCCACUAGUGGCGCUGGUGGAUACGAGUGAGACGCUAUCAGUCAUGACUUAUGAGUGUGUUCCAGUGUUUUCUUUAUACACGAAUUUAGGUAUGAUCGGGACUUAUAGAAGACAACGAUCACCGCAUUUUUAUAAGUUGUUUGAUGUUGGAUUUUACUAUUUGCAGGGUAAUCGAUUGGCCAUAAAGCAAUUUGGUUUUAAUCGGUUCUGAUACUACUACCAAUUAGAUUCAAGAGUGUUUGAAUUAAGUAUAGGUAAAGAUGUUGUGAUUAGAAAAGAUUAUCACACAAGAAUUCUUCGUCGAAAAUGGGAACACCAAUUAAGACAUCUUGACAAGCAGCCUGUCUUUCCCUUGUUCUGACAACUUGAAGGUGAAGCUGAUGAUUGCUUAAAAUAAGAUGUACGCGUAAGGAAAUCACAGACUUUCUCAUCUUUUUAUUCUUCGUAGACAUCAGAGAUUGAUGGAUAUCAAGUUACAAGAAACUAAUAAUAGUUUACUUCGUUUCGGUAUAAGUUACAAGAUAAAUUAAUGUAUGGCUGGGUUACAAGAAACGUAGAAAUCAAAUGUAGAAUAUGAAUAUUAUCUAUUGAAUACAAGGCGUAGUAGUUUCAGAAAUACACUUUUAUUACCGGCUUCGGGAACAUAACAAAACGAACAUAAACUAAAGGUCAUAAACUGCGGAAACGUCUCAAGCGGCUAGACAUAAUGGAAUGAGCCAAACACCUUCAUCAAUAACAUCCAGACUAGAUUUUCAGAACUAUCAUCACCCACAGCUACAGUUAGGACAAACCCGUCGAAGAUCACAUCAAUUAACUGAAUCUGUAAAACAAAGCCAACCACAUAACCAAUACACAAUUUGUGUCCCUCGUUAAAAAUAUGUAAACACAAAACCAAAUCAGUCAAAAUGUAAAACUGUAAAAGGGUAAUAAUAUAACCAUCAGCAACCAAAAGUUAUCAUCAAAGAAAUACAGUCCGCAUCAAGGUCAAGUCAUUAUAAUGACCAUCAUCUGGCUAUUAAAACCCUUUUCAAUCUUAUAAACUUACAAAAAAAAUUUCAGAAAUAAUAAAGGCUCAGAGAAAAUAUGGGUUAGAGAUGGUUAUCAGCACUAAUAUCAGAGUGGUGCAUGACAUUCUCGUUCAUCACUGCCUUUUCUAUACUAAUCAAAAACAAAACUCAUCAAAAAAAUAGCCUCAGAAUUGCAGAAGUAUCAUCAAUGUUAAUCAGUCCCGAAAGAUGGUGUUCUUUUAUAAUCUGAUGUCCUCAUUGGCUAAAUACAAUCCUAACUAGAUAAAACUGAAAACCAAAAUACAGGGGAAUAUAGAUCUCAUGGCCGGUCCCAAACGGUAAAAGCAGCGACGCCGCUCCGCAAGGCAAUGGAAUAUGAGAGCCAAUAGCAAGAUACCCAAAACGGAGAAGCCCUAGAGCUCCAUCAACGUCCAUGGGCAUGCCCAAUUGCUUUGUGACG